This 984-nucleotide ribosomal RNA is filed under the name Providencia rettgeri. RNAcentral's name for it is "partial 23S ribosomal RNA". Lineage: Bacteria; Pseudomonadati; Pseudomonadota; Gammaproteobacteria; Enterobacterales; Morganellaceae. The record is from RNAcentral.
GGUUAAGCGACUAAGCGUACACGGUGGAUGCCUAGGCAAUCAGAGGCGAUGAAGGACGUGCUAAUCUGCGAUAAGCGUCGGUAAGGUGAUAUGAACCGUUACAACCGACGAUUUCCGAAUGGGGAAACCCAGUGCAAUUCGUUGCACUAUCGUUUGAUGAAUACAUAGUCAAACGAAGCGAACCGGGGGAACUGAAACAUCUCAGUACCCCGAGGAAAAGAAAUCAACCGAGAUUCCCCUAGUAGCGGCGAGCGAACGGGGAGCAGCCCAGAGUCUUAAUCAGCAUUAGCAUCAGGAGAACGGUCUGGAAAGUCCGGCAGUAAAGGGUGAUAGCCCCGUAUCCGAAGGUGUUAGUGUUGUGAACUCGACGAGUAGGGCGGGACACGUGUUAUCCUGUCUGAAUAUGGGGGGACCAUCCUCCAAGGCUAAAUACUCCUGAUUGACCGAUAGUGAACCAGUACCGUGAGGGAAAGGCGAAAAGAACCCCGGCGAGKGGAGUGAAAUAGAACCUGAAACCGUGUACGUACAAGCAGUGGGAGCCUUGAUUUAUCAGGGUGACUGCGUACCUUUUGUAUAAUGGGUCAGCGACUUAUAUUCUGUAGCAAGGUUAACCGUAUAGGGGAGCCGUAGGGAAACCGAGUCUUAACUGGGCGAAUAAGUUGCAGGGUAUAGACCCGAAACCCGGUGAUCUAGCCAUGGGCAGGUUGAAGGUUGGGUAACACUAACUGGAGGACCGAACCGACUAAUGUUGAAAAAUUAGCGGAUGACUUGUGGCUGGGGGUGAAAGGCCAAUCAAACCGGGAGAUAGCUGGUUCUCCCCGAAAGCUAUUUAGGUAGCGCCUCGUGAACUCAUCUUCGGGGGUAGAGCACUGUUUCGACUAGGGGGUCAUCCCGACUUACCAACUCGAUGCAAACUACGAAUACCGAAGAAUGUUAUCACGGGAGACACACGGCGGGUGCUAACGUUCGUCGUGAAGAGGGAAA